CUUGUAUUGACCAUCGAAGACAGUGGUACUCGUUACAGUAAGAUUCUCCAUUUCUUCAUUAUAUAUUUACCUCGUAGAAGCUUCAUCAGCUCAGUGGUUCGGUCAACUUGGUGCUUGCAGAAGGACGGUGGUUGGCUGGUGAUCAGAGUUCACUGAGAGUUUGCACUGAGCAGCUAUGAAUAAUGUGGCAAUAAUGAGUAUUGUAUCAGCUCACUCUGUCGGUCCUUUUUGCUUUUAGAGGCUAAACUUGUCCCUCGCUUCUCUUUGUCCUCAUGCACAUCUAUUGGCAACUAAACGUACUGUGAAACCUGCACGUGAUAACGAUAAGCUAUAUUUAAGAAUGAAGUUAAACACAAUGAAUGCAAUGUAAUACGCCCUUUAAUGCAAACUGACACCCCUAAUAUGAAGACCUCAGCAACUAUACAAUAUCAUUCAGUUUGUUUCGAAAGCUUUUUGUUGACGAUGGUGCGCUAGAUUGUGAUAUUUUGUACAGGCUUUGCCUUUUCUUGUGAAACUCUGCCCACCUUUGUUUUAGUUUGUUCUCAACACAACAAGUGUCACUAUAUUGAUAGCCCAUAGCUGAAUAUGUCUGUAAAGUAUGAACAGUAUUAUUUGCUAUUUAAUUUAACAUCAUCUGUGUCGAUAUAAAGGCUACAGUCAAUUAAUAUUAUUAAUUUGUGCGUUCAAAUGCUUGUCAUAAUGUCCCAGUUGGUUUGUUGGGAAGUCUUUUUUUCCAACUGAAGUGUCAUCACGUGCUUUGAUGUAGGAAUGUAGGAGCUUUAAACUAAAAAAAAUGAUGCUUUACAUGACUUUUUAUCAGGAUAACUGAUAAAGUUUAAAAAAAAGACUCUUUGUAGACACCAAUUUGUGGUUGUAGCAUAAGAUCAUAUUGCAAAUGAGAUGAAGGAAGAAAAAAGUUUAUAUGCAACAUGCUAAAUUAUACCCAAAUUUUAUUUUUUUUUUUGUCAGGAAUCAUUAUGAUCCUUACUUUCCUCACUUUUCUUUCGUCUUAAUUUCUCUUUUCAUCCAAAUCACAAUAAUGACACUUGUUUGUCUGAGAACAACCUGAAAGGCUCUCCGAGUUCAUUCUUAGUGGCAACAAUAGUGGAAAAUUAUAUAUCUCACUGACCACCAGAUGCAGCUUUCGGAUGUUUUGUAGUUUUAUUGGUCUUUAGCUCAUUUUUAAUGAAGGUGCUAAUAUUCAGACAGGCACUGUGUACAAACAUACUCCCAUUAAGGAGUACAGACUAAGUUAAUAAAUCUGUAUAUUCCAAAAGUAAUGGUAGUCUUUUGGAGCAUAAUAUCUAUCAGUGAUAAACCAGUUGCCAAAUUACUCAAUUAGGAUAAAAGUGAUAGAGUUAUGAACAUAUUAUUUCCUGUCCUGAUGACCUGAGCAGGUUAGAUGGAACAUGUUACCAUAUGAUCAAAACAGUAUACUAAUAAUAAAUGAAACAGCUGCUCUUAGGGUUUUAGUAAGACACAUAUUGUCCCUCGUGAACACUUAAAGUAGUCUUUAAAGUGUCAAGUGCCAUUAGCUUCUGCCCAAACAAUUAUAAAGCAUAAAGCCAAGCUGCCAGUAACUAUUGACGAUUCCCACAGGAACACUCCUGAUUCACUGUAAUGUAAUGCAUAGAUAAUUAUAACCAUAUACAUUAGAGAAUACAAUUCCCACGAUGCACUUCCUCACUUGUUAACCAGCUUUUCUGUCCCCGGCUGAAAUGAGGGAUUCAUCACCUCUGUACAGUAGCAAGCCAAAGCAUUAUUGUCUUUUUAAUACACGUUAUGAAAGCUGCUGUAUUAGGCAGACAUGACUGCUGUUUCCACAUAAAUACAGAUUUUAAUGGUGAGCAUACCCUUUCUGCUCUGUAUCCACUAAACCUAACAACAAAACAUGCUGGAAAUCUUUUAUCUUCUUUUGUUCGCUCAAUAGAGGCAUUGAUCGAUCAUUAGUUCUGUGAAGUCUCACUCUGAGAUAAAAACAAGUCUAAAAAGUGAAAGGAUUUUUUUUUUCUUUUUCUAUUUUUUUGUACUAAUUUGAGGAGAGUGUUUCUGUAAAUGGCUGCAAUCCAGCUCGACCAAAACAGGAAAACUGACCCUCCCUCCUGAUCAGAGUUCAUUUACACACCUCCAUGCUCUUUGAAGACUUGAUAGCAGAUUAAUUGUUUCCCAACUUCCCCCCCCCCCCCCCCCCUUCUCCCAAAUUAAUAUAAGAAAAUAAAAGAAAAUGCUUAAUUUAUUUCCAGACUUCUAAAACGGUUCGACUACAUCCAAUUAACUCUAAUUGUCUCCUAAGCUGAAAUUCUCAGUAGAAAUGGAGCAAUUAAAUUUCUGCUUUGGCUCUACCUUGGGGACGAGAGACGUUUUACUUUGGUUGAUGGUGGGAAGGGUUUGUCUAAACCUUUACAAAGACGAUUUCAUGAGUCUCUGUAAUAGUUUCAUAACAGAGCGAUCACUGGGCUAUGCAAGGCAAAUAUGGCCACCCUAUGUUCCUUGUGUUGUGGAGCAUCAGACUGACAUUUAUUUGUUCUUUGUUUACAUUGUGGACAUGCUGUACAAAUGUAUUAUGUGCAUAUUUCACUAUACUACGACUGCUGUUCGUUACUAUAACUAUGAUCCUUUGAUUUGCCAAUUUAGGGAGUUUUUCAUGUUGGAUUAGCAACAAAAUUUAGAGCCCACUGAAAACCUGUAUAAUACAAGUCACUGUAUUGAGUCAAUGGGUAAUUAUUUAAGUAAGUCUUUGGUGAGAUAUUGUCUUAUUUUCUGUUUUUUUUUUUUUCUUCUGUAUCUUUGUGUAUCUCAAUGCUGAAACACACACACACACACACUGCGUUACCAUCGAUUUUGCUUAUCGGCACAGCAGGACAUAUAGUGAGUAAAGUCGUCUAGACCCUAUACCUCAAUUCAUAUUUUUUGAAAAUUACACUGGGUUUGGAAGCGGGCCAUGGGUUCCUCUUGGGAAUCUGUGGCACAGAAAUAAAGUGACAUCACUGGCUGGGUAUUAAAAAAAUGUAGAUGAACUUACGGCGGUUGGGGAACACAUUCCUCGGAGGAGAAAGCUGCUUAUUCGCUGUUCCAUUUGCGGACUUUACCUUAACUCCGCGCACGCUGAGAUGACGAGAUUUACAUAAAACAUGGAGGAACCUCCCUGGCCGUUCUGGUCCACGGUGUAUAAAGGACCCUGCUAGGUGUAUGUACCACAGACAUGUGAUUACCCAAGAGGAUUAACCCUCCCCUUCUCAAAAGCAAUAUGUUAGCAUUUGUAAUAUAUGAAUCAAGAUAAAAGGGAGCUUUGGUUCAUUUUGAUUAUACACUUAUGCUUGGGAAAGGACAGGCUAACUAUGCACGCACAGUCCUGGGAAGACAAAGGGAAAAUAUUGGAAGUUAGAAGCAACUACAGCUGGGUUUCACUGGACAGUAUUGUGUGGCAUUUUCUUGUGUUUCGUUUGUUGUGUUCAUGCCUACUGUAUCCAUGUGUAAAUAUAUGCUUUUUUUUUCUUUUUCUUCUUUUUUUUUGGAGUGAGUCAAAUCUAACAGUGCACUGAAUGUACAGUGACAAUAAAAUCACAUGGUUUAUGUAACAGCUG
This is a long non-coding RNA of Astatotilapia calliptera (eastern happy), 3584 nucleotides long. NCBI's taxonomy places the organism in Eukaryota, Metazoa, Chordata, Actinopteri, Cichliformes, Cichlidae. The record is from Ensembl.